Polypterus senegalus (gray bichir) is the source of this 2333-nucleotide long non-coding RNA. RefSeq lists it as uncharacterized. The record is from RefSeq and is a predicted model, not a curated record. Lineage: Eukaryota; Metazoa; Chordata; Cladistia; Polypteriformes; Polypteridae. The transcript has 2 exons.
GCUAAAAGGCCUUCAUUGAACAAAGUGGUGUUUGGACUUUUCUGCUCUGUUUUCUCAAAUUUGCAUGUUUAGAUUUUUAUUACCAGUUUAUGACCCAAGCCCGACUCUUUAGUGUUCUUUUUCUGUUUGUUCCUUUAUUUCUUAGAUUCUGACUGUAUUUACAGCCAUGUUUAUAAUUAAUUUAAUUACAGAAAUCAUUUUAGAAUAAUGCUUCUAUUAUUUUCAUCCAAAUGUUCCUUAUCUCCUCAAGAUAUGAAUUCUUUUUAACUAAUAUUGGUCCACUUCAAAUCACAAAGUUACCAGAUUCUUCACUUGAUACCCCAAUUCCUCCACAAUAGUCACAUUUAGCCCACCCUGCCAUGAAUACGAGCAAACGUCCUGAACGUGACGACAUUCUGUCUAAACAUUGAGGAGCAUUUGGAGAGCAGACAUCCAGCCGUGAACUUCAGAUGCUUCACUCGUCCACUGCCAGCUCUCACCACCAUCUGGUCUGAACAUGAGACCACUUUACUGCUGACACAUGGCAGGGGUCUUACAUCGUGAUGAUUGUUGUCCUGGCCCAACUGAGUCAGCAGGUAGACCUCUUCUCUUCUCUAUAAGUCGUUUCAUUAUUGUUAAAAAUGAGGCUUGAUGUGGCCAAGUAACAAUGAGAUUUAAUGAUGAAGUGAGCCUUGUGUGCCCACACAGUCAUAAGAGGGGCUCAGCACACCAGCCUGUGGAGUGACAGUACUGGGGGUCAGCUUGGAGGAUGUGACGCUGCCAUUCACACAUCCUGAGGUCUGUUGGUUAGGAAGUCCAAAACCCAACUGCAGUGGCACUGAGUCCUAAAUUGAGGAGUUUGGUCAUCAGGUCUGCCCGUCCAGCAGAAUUAAAUGCUGAGCUGUGGUCAGUAAACACGACUCUGACAGAACAGCAGGGCUUUGGACUUCAAUCCCAAUACUGACAUAUUGUGUCACUUCACCUGCCGGUGCUCCACGUGGAAAUACAAAAGAAAUAAACAAAUUGUGUCUUAAAUGUUGAAAGUCACCUUCGAUAAAGGAGUGAGCCAAACAGUAAGUUUAGAGGAGACUUGUGUUCAUACCGAGACGACACAAACGAUUGUCAGCAUUUGAUAAGUGAUGUGCGCUCGAUGUCCUGAUUUGUUCUGAUGUGAGGACCCCCUUGAUCAGGCCCUCCUCGGGGUCUCCAAGGUGUUUUAGUGUCUUCUAACUGUGAACAUUUCAGGAGCUGCUUGAACCUUUAAAAUGUCUUCCCCUUUGUUUUCUUUUAUCAGGAGCCCUGGUGGUCUCUUACAAGUAACGAUUCUUGUCUCCAGUCGUCUUUCUUCACAUCCUCGGUGUCCGUGUUUGUGUUAAUAUAAACUGUUUCUGUCUCAGCCCCUUUUUGUGUCUCUUUGACUUUUUCCUUUUGUUAAAUACGUGUAUAUACAGUAUACAGUACAGUGGUCCGGAGCAGAGGGGGUCUCAGAGCAGGUCUUGAGCUUUGAAGGGGUUUUUAAGUUUGGAUUUAAUGGCUGUUUUGUUGUUCAAUCCACUGUUAUAAGGUUGGUGUUUUGUUAAACGUGAAUGUCUCGCAUUGCUGUCUUUAACUUUAAAAUAAUAAAAAACUAAUCAUGUAAAAAAAAAAUUCUCAUUUUUCCUGUUGAAAGUUCAGUGCCAUCACCAAGCCUUUAACAUACUUAUUGAGAAUUAGAGGACAGCUGAAUAGCUGAAGUCCAUAAAGUGUGUGUGUGUGGACAGCCGUGGUGUUGAGGGCACUGAAAUAGACAGCCUGAGCCUCCAUACUGUGAUGGGCACAGCAAGACGGUAAGUGGGGUCUGAUGGAAGGAGGCUUUAAUGGCAGCCUGCCCUCUAAAUGGUGUUGACACGCAGAGGAGCCUUUAGCACGAGGUGGCAGGACUCUGUGAUGGACAAUUUUCAUUUUGUUUAGAUAAGGAGCAGGCUGUGAAAUGUGGUGAAUUAUGUGGUGAGAAUAAAAAUGUGAUUAUUUACUGUGCCAGCUAUCACACAACUAGAAAUCAUCUUCUCAAGGGACAGAGGAGACAGACAGGGAUGGAAAUGCACUGCUAAUUUGUCAUCUACGCUGAAUCCUUACAGGGGAUACAUGAGAGUAGCAAGAGGAUAUGGAGGACUUGGAGGAUAUGGAGGACUUGGAUGAUAUGGAGGAGGGGGAUUUGGUGGAUACGGACAAUACGGAGGAUGAUGUUUCAGGACUUGGUAAAUUGGCCAAAAGGACCAAACCAGACCAAUCAUUGCCAAGAAAGAAGAAGUCAAAGAAUGACUAUUAGUUUAAAAUAAAACCAAACACAUUGCAGCAAACUGCCUGGCUCCUUA